UUUGGUUAAGUUAGAAAGGGCGCACGGUGGAUGCCUUGACACUAGGAGUCGAUGAAGGACGGGACUAACGCCGAUAUGCUUCGGGGAGCUGUAAGUAAGCUUUGAUCCGAAGAUUUCCGAAUGGGGAA
RNAcentral lists this ribosomal RNA (128 nucleotides) under Bacillus anthracis (anthrax bacterium). RNAcentral describes it as "partial 23S ribosomal RNA". It matches the Rfam family "Bacterial large subunit ribosomal RNA", at positions 1 to 125 of the family's 2925-position model. The record is from RNAcentral. Lineage: Bacteria; Bacillati; Bacillota; Bacilli; Caryophanales; Bacillaceae.